RNAcentral lists this ribosomal RNA (114 nucleotides) under Paramormyrops kingsleyae. The record is from RNAcentral. Lineage: Eukaryota; Metazoa; Chordata; Actinopteri; Osteoglossiformes; Mormyridae.
AAUCACAGCCAUACCACCUGCAGUUCAGACUAAGUAAUCCAUCGGAAGCUAAGCAAGUUUGGGCCUGACUGGUACUUGGAUGGGAGACCAACUAGGAAGAGGUGUUGGUGUAUC